RNAcentral lists this ribosomal RNA (253 nucleotides) under uncultured bacterium. RNAcentral describes it as "partial 16S ribosomal RNA". It matches the Rfam family "Bacterial small subunit ribosomal RNA", at positions 524 to 776 of the family's 1533-position model. The record is from RNAcentral.
UACGGAGGGUGCAAGCGUUGUCCGGAUUUAUUGGGUUUAAAGGGUGCGUAGGCGGCAGAUUAAGUCAGCGGUGAAAUUCCACAGCUCAACUGUGGAACUGCCAUUGAUACUGGUUUGCUUGAGUACAGAUGAGGUAGGCGGAAUGUGUCAUGUAGCGGUGAAAUGCUUAGAUAUGACACAGAACACCGAUUGCGUAGGCAGCUUACUAAACUGUAACUGACGCUGAGGCACGAAAGCGUGGGGAGCAAACAGG